This 249-nucleotide ribosomal RNA is filed under the name uncultured bacterium. RNAcentral's name for it is "partial 16S ribosomal RNA". It matches the Rfam family "Bacterial small subunit ribosomal RNA", at positions 524 to 772 of the family's 1533-position model. The record is from RNAcentral.
UACAGAGGGUGCAAGCGUUAAUCGGAAUUACUGGGCGUAAAGCGCGCGUAGGUGGUUGUGUAAGUUGGAUGUGAAAGCCCCGGGCUUAACCUGGGAACUGCAUUCAAAACUGCACGGCUAGAGUAUGGUAGAGGGUAGCGGAAUUCCGGGUGUAGCGGUGAAAUGCGUAGAUAUCCGGAGGAACACCAGUGGCGAAGGCGGCUACCUGGACCAAUACUGACGCUGAGGUGCGAAAGCGUGGGGAGCAAA